GAUGAACGCUAGCGGGAGGCUUAACACAUGCAAGUCGAGCGGUAUAGGUAGCAAUACUUAGAGAGCGGCGCACGGGUGAGUAACGCGUAUGCAACCUACCUUUUACAGAGGGAUAGCCCGGAGAAAUUCGGAUUAAUACCACAUGGCACUAUAGACCUGCAUGGGUUUAUAGUUAAAGAUUUAUCGGUAAGAGAUGGGCAUGCGUGACAUUAGCUAGUUGGUAGGGUAACGGCCUACCAAGGCGACGAUGUCUAGGGGUUCUGAGAGGAUGAUCCCCCACACUGGUACUGAGACACGGACCAGACUCCUACGGGAGGCAGCAGUGAGGAAUAUUGGUCAAUGGGCGCAAGCCUGAACCAGCCAUCCCGCGUGAAGGAUGAAGGCCCUAUGGGUCGUAAACUUCUUUUAUAUGCCAAGAAAACGACCUACGUGUAGGUUUUUGACGGUAGUAUAUGAAUAAGCAUCGGCUAACUCCGUGCCAGCAGCCGCGGUAAUACGGAGGAUGCGAGCGUUAUCCGGAUUCAUUGGGUUUAAAGGGUGCGUAGGCGGUUUUUAAGUCAAAUGGUGAAAUCCUGCGGCUCAACCGUAGAACUGCCAUUGAAACUGAGGAACUUGAAUAUAAUUGA
Molecule: ribosomal RNA, 626 nt
Filed under: environmental clone CC-8
Lineage: Bacteria
Description: bacterial SSU rRNA
Rfam family: Bacterial small subunit ribosomal RNA
Source: RNAcentral